CACCUCUCUUGGAUACCAGAUGGAGAGCCUCCCUGGUGAUUUGCUGCUGCGCCUCCUCACCGUGGGGUGGGUAGAACUUGGAGAGCUACGGCUCCCCGUGUGUGGGAAAGGUGGGCAUCACCUCCACCAGGGCUGGGCCAGCCAAGCUGGUGGGCACUGAGGGCCAGCUUGACAUCCAUCUGCAACUGUGCUGGCUGGGUCAGGACCUGGGGAUCUUCGAUUGAACUGGGCUCCAGUGAGGGCUGGUGGCUUGGAGGGACGAGGCCGACCUACUGGGAAAGACUGCACAAGACACAUAGGAGCAACCGAGAUGACUGCGGACCGC
This 325-nucleotide long non-coding RNA is filed under the name Cavia porcellus (domestic guinea pig). RNAcentral describes it as "lncRNA (ENSCPOG00000035936.1)". Lineage: Eukaryota; Metazoa; Chordata; Mammalia; Rodentia; Caviidae. The record is from RNAcentral.